GCGGAAGUGGCGGAACUGGCAGACGCACUAGCUUGAGGGGCUAGCGAGCCAAUGGCUCAUGGGGGUUCAAAUCCCCCCUUCCGCACCA
This 88-nucleotide transfer RNA is filed under the name bacterium. RNAcentral describes it as "tRNA-Leu". It matches the Rfam family "tRNA". From Rfam's summary of the family: Transfer RNA (tRNA) molecules are approximately 80 nucleotides in length. The record is from RNAcentral. RNAcentral also lists the same sequence under 3 other names.